UUAAAAAAAAAAAAAAAAAAAAAACACUUCCUCUGCUUCUGGGUAGAACUGUUCUAAAGCAUUCAAGACAGUGGCAUAGACAUUCUCUUUAAAAAUCAAUCCCAGGAGCAAUUUAUUACAGGGAAAUUUCCUGGACUCCAAGAAGCACCUUGAAGUCAGGAGAUGAUUAAUUUGAUAUAACUGAAGAGCUGCAAACAUCUGCUCCCUGUUGACAUCUGCCUCUCAUUAGAUUACAGCCCCCGUCUCCCUGUGCAUGGGGUGGGGGGGAGGGCUGGCUUGUGUGUUGAUCUGGUAACUCUAAUUAUAUGGUAAGCCGGGUGCUCAAGGCCCUUGUGCCAGCCACCUGGUGGGGGAUCAAUAAAAACUUGCUCUAGUGCAUUGUACUCCAGAUCCACACCAAGCACUCAGUAAGUCCUCCAUCACUCCCAAAUAAUAGAAAUAAAAGACAGUAAUGAGUUUGGUGAGCACAUUUUCAUCUUUUAGCCCCGGUUAAGGCUGCAUGUAGAUGAAUCCCAACCCUUGGUUGUUUCAAAGAGACAAAUCAAUUCCAUGAAAAAUCUUCCAAAUUUAUUAUUUUGGCACCAGGUUUUAUAAUCACUCUUUAACUGCUCUCUCUUCCUCCACUACCCUUUUCCCACUAGAUCUACUAUUAGCGUAAUUGGCCUACAGCAUGUCUAGGAUAAGGAGUCACCCUGUUGAGAAACCUGAAGCUCUGCCUUGCUCAGGAGCACACACCACCUUCUUAACCUUGACUUCUAAGCCCUACACUGCCUGCAAUCACCUAACUUCUGUCCCAGGACACUCCUUCAAACAGCCUUGCCUUAUGUCAUCCAAUGUGACUCUUGCUUCCCAAUUCUGCUUAUGCUUUCACCUUUAUACCUUAGCAUAAACUCCAUAUAAAACCCAGAUGCAAUAUCGCACCAUCUUGGUAUAGAGCUUUGUCAAGGGAAUAGGAACCCAAAAAUGCACAAUGAAUUAAAUCUCUAUCAGUCUUUCACAAAAACACCAAAAGGGAGAACAUGCCCACAACAUGCUUUCCGCAUUCUUUUCUCUCUGGUUUUCCCAGGCCUUGGGUCAACCCAAAGCCUCUCUCCUCCCCAACACUCUGCUCCUACUUCAGGGUUGCCUUCAGCUCACGCCAGGUUCCUUUGUCUCCUUGUUUGACUAAGCUCUUCAUAGCUAUAGCAUUGCAGCCACCUUGGCGUCUUUGAAUUUUUCUGUCAAAGCCCAGAGCUAAUCUCACAAGCAAAAAUUCUCUCUCAUUAGAAGACAAGGUAAGAAGACUGAAAAAAAAAAUUUUAUGCUUUGUCUUAUUUCUGUCACACUGGCAAUGCACACCCUGCAUGGAAAGAUCUUUGCACAUUUCUCAUUAUGAAUACUCCUCUCAGAUCACCAAAGCCCAGAACAAAAAAAUUCAUCAUCUUUAAAGAUUUCACAAUGCCUUCUUAGAGAACAUUGCACACAACACCUUGACUUUUAGAUUGUGGUAUAAAUGUCUUAUUUCUACUUUUGAAAAUUGGGGCUCAAGAUCAUUUGGCAAAUCCCCGUUCACCUUUCAAUACUCACCUAAGUAUCAAUUCCUGGGAAAUGACUAUCCUCACUUCCUUUGCAUCCUUGGUGCAGUCAUCUCUUUGAUCCACAGAAACCAGUUCAUAACCUGACACAUCACAAUGAAAUUCAGUGAUAUCUGAAUAUCUUCAUUCAAUCAGGUUGCUCUAACACAUUACCAUGAACUAGGGAGCUUAUAAACAACAGAAAUGUAUUUUUCUGGAGUCUGAGAAGUCCAAGAUCAAGGCUCUAGCAUAUUUGGUGCUGGUUCAAGCCCUCUUCCUGGUUCAUAGGUAGCUAUCUUCUUCUUAUGUCCUUACCUGCUAGAAGGACAAAGGGAGCUCUCUGAGGCUUCUUUCAUCAGGACACUAACCCUGUUCAUGAGGGCUUCAUCCUUAAGACCUUAUCACUUCCCAAAGGGCCCACCUCCAAAUAGCAAACCUUGAGGACUAGGUUUCAACAUAUGAAAUUGAAGGGACCAUAACAAUUCAGUCUGUAGCAGUGGGUUUGUUUUUACUAUAUUGUUUCCUCUAACUCCAAACACAUGUACACCUUGAAAACAGAGAAAUCUCUUAUUCAUCUUACACCCCCCAAUUUAUCCAAGUACUUGGCCAAAUGUGUGUUCUCAGAAAAUGUCUAUCUGAUGACACGUUUGCUACUUUGUGAAUUCCCCACAGUAUCUAGUACUGGGCUUUACUCAUAGUAGAUGCUCAAAAAGUAUAUUUAGAAUUGAAUUAAGUAUCUUUGGAACAUUCAGCUUGAUUGAAUUUAUUUUCUUUUUUUUCUUGACAUAACAUUGUCUGCAUGGUGGUCUAAAAAUGUUUUCAAAGCUAAAAAAUGGUGGAAGGAAAACAAAGGAUUAAAAAUAAACUGGUUUGACCAGUUUCAUUCCUUCAGGAUACAAAGCCAAGCUUGGAGUUUUGUAGGAGCAAAGCACACUCUCAGGCAAAAGCUAGGAGGCUGAGUGUGGGUCCUUCUUCUGUAACCUGCAAGGCUAUAAGACCUUUCAUUUCUGUAUUAGAAUGUUCUGUUAUAUUAGGCCCAUGUGGCUCCUUUGGUUAAUGGUGACAGAAAAUGUGACUCCAGGGCCAUGUAACUGCAAACACUACUGGCCUAGAAGCUGGAACAGAUUGAUAAGACUGGCAAACCCCACCUAUGCUGCUCUUUUGUAAGAGUGGGAAGAAAACACAGUGAUUAAACUUAAUCACUCUUAUGCAUUGUGCAAUUAAUCUCCAGCACCCCUGGACCGCUCUCCAGGAUCUAUAACUUAAACACUCAGCUCACAGAGAUGGGCCCAUUGACUAUGCUUCUGAUGUAUAAUGGAGUCAACCUGCAGAAAUUCAUUAAUUCUUUUGAAACACAGUACUUCUUCUGUGGAGUGGGAGCUUGGGGGAAAGAGGAUAUAUUUUCUUUGGCAAUGCUUUUGAGUCAGAAGUUCAGGAUAGAGUCAGCCUGAGGAAAGCAGACACUGUUGGUUGCCUAUGCAUGCUCUUAGUUUCAGCCCCAGGGAUGGGUCAUGAACCCAUCCCCCUUGACAGUAACUGGUUGAGAUGAUGGCAUGGAUGUAAUUCAAACCAAUGAGGUGGGAGAGAAAAAAUCCUCCAGAGGAUUUACAAAAGGUUUCCUUUAGGGGAAAAAAAAAAAAAGGUAGGAAAACCUGGUCUCUUUCUCCCUCUGGACAUGGUCAGGCCUAGCUGUGAGACCUGCGACUGGUGUAUUUCUUGAAACUGAUGCCAAUUCAGCCUGAGAUAAGGACAGAGAUGGCAGAGGUGGAAGAAACAAGACCCCAAAUUCUUGAUACUAGCGUUGUGCUACUGAGCAACCAACGCUGGUGCCUCCUUAUCUCUAAAUUUCUUACAAUGUGGAAGAAUAUAUUUCUCUAUUGAGGGGGCCACUUAGAAUUAGCUUCCUUUGUGACUUGAGGCCAAAAUCUUAAUACAUUUGGUUUAUGGAAAUGGCUGAAACUUAUGAAGAUUUUUUUCAGUUUUUUUAACUUUACUGGAGUAGAGUUGAUUUCCAACAUGGUGUUAGUUUCAGGUGUACAGCAAAGUGGUUCUUUAUUAGAUUCUUUUCACAUAUAAGUUAUUACAGAAUAUUGAAUAGAGUGCCCUGUACUAUACAGUAGGUCCUUGUUAGUUAUCUAUUUUAUAUAUAGUUGAAGUUUUUUUUGCACAUGCUGCAUCAUAACCAAGGUGAGACCCCCAUACCAGUUUUGGCAAAUUCCCCCUCAUAUCCCUGGUUCCAAAGCCCUACUGUGGGCAGGGUUGCUGACCUUCAUCCUCAGCUGGGUGACCAGAUUUUAUGGUCUACACUGAACUACUGAGUCUAUAUAGCCCCUUAGUUGCAUGCCCAAAUCACACACACCCCUUCCUUCCUCCCUUAGACUUAGAGAAUUCUCACUUGCUAGGCCCACCCCCUGACAUCUCUCACUAGAGAGACACUCUGGACCAUACACAGGCAGAGGCAAACAACCUCAUCUUUUCCAUGUCCACCUAUUCCAUUUAUUAAGUUCCUGAACACAGCCAGCACUUAGUUAAGCCCUUUAGGGACAAAUUACCUGAGCUCCAAGUGACCUCAAGCUCCAAAGAGCCAACCUUCAAAUAACUACCUAGCUAUUCUAUAAAAGGCAUCCAUUUACUUAUUUCAUUUAUUCAGCAUUUAGUGAGCAGUUAAUCCAUUCCAUGCAUCCUGCUAGGCCUUUGGGAUUCAAUAACGAAUGAGCCUUUUAUUCAUUCAACAAAUGAGUGUCUACUUUGUGCCAGCCAAGCACUAGGAAUAAAAUUGUGAUGGAAAAAUAUGUACAAUUUGAUAGAGAUGCACUGUUGUCAUAUAGUCAUCCAAAUACUAGAUGAAGGGGAGGAAUAUUGCUAGAGAGAACAUUCUAAGCAAAGGGAACAGCAAAUACAAAGGCACUGAGGCUGAAGGGGGAAUGUUGCAAUUCAGAAAAUCAAAGCCAGUGUGACUGGAGUACAGUGAGCAAGAGGGAAACUGUUUCAAGAUGUGGCUGCAGAGGCAAGAGGCAAGGGCUAGGUCACGAAGUGCCCUUAUACUAUAUUGAAGAGUUUGAAUGUUUUCCUAAAGAUCCUGAUGUGACCCUGAAAAUUUUUAAGCAAGAUAGUAAACUGACAGGACAUUUGCUGGAAGGGCCAAGCCCAGGAUCAGGAAGACUAGUAGAAAAAUAAAUAGAAAAUGACUUAACAAAAGUCCUGGCCAUGAGAACGAAGAGAGAAUGGGCAAGAGACUCAGGUAGGUGGGAUCAGCUUAAGAUGCUAUUGGAAGAGGUGAAGGAGAAGAACAAGGGGCAGAGAUGAUUCCCAGGUUUCAUGGGAAGUCUGUUUGAGUAGGAGUGGGAUUAGAGUUUAUUCAGUUAGUGACAUAGUAUGCCCAAGGCGGAGCCAUUUAGACAUUAAGGUAUACAAGUCUGAAGC
This 4976-nucleotide long non-coding RNA is filed under the name Sus scrofa (pig). Its description in RNAcentral is "lncRNA (ENSSSCG00000057697.1)". The record is from RNAcentral. Lineage: Eukaryota; Metazoa; Chordata; Mammalia; Artiodactyla; Suidae.